Molecule: ribosomal RNA, 913 nt
Filed under: uncultured bacterium
Lineage: Bacteria
Description: bacterial SSU rRNA
Rfam family: Bacterial small subunit ribosomal RNA
Source: RNAcentral
ACGGUUGUAGCGAUACAAUAGUGGCGCACGGGUGCGUAACACGUAUGCAACCUACCUUAUAGACGGGGAUAGCCUUUGGAAACGGAGAUUAAUACCCGAUAGUACUAUUGACUGGCAUCAGUUAAUAUUUAAAGAUUUAUCGCUAUAAGCUGGGCAUGCGUCCAAUUAGUUAGUUGGUUAGGUAACGGCUGACCAAGACGAUGAUUGGUAGGGGAACUGAGAGGUUAAUCCCCCACACUGGCACUGAGAUACGGGCCAGACUCCUACGGGAGGCAGCAGUAGGGAAUAUUGGGCAAUGGAGGGAACUCUGACCCAGCCAUGCCGCGUGCAGGACGAAGGAGCUAUGCUCUGUAAACUGCUUUAGCAGGGGAAGAAAAGGCGUCUGCGGACGAGAUUGACGGUACCCUGAGAAUAAGCACCGGCUAACUACGUGCCAGCAGCCGCGGUAAUACGUAGGGUGCAAGCGUUGUCCGGAUUUAUUGGGUUUAAAGGGUGCGUAGGCGGCUUUAUAAGUCAGUGUUUAAAGCACAUAGCUCAACUAUGGAACUGGCAUUGAUACUGUAGAGCUUGAGUAGAAACGGGGCAGGCGGAAUUUAUGGUGUAGCGGUGAAAUGCAUAGAUACCAUAAAGAACACCGAUAGCGAAGGCAGCUUGCCAGGAUCUAACUGACGCUGAGGCACGAAAGCGUGGGGAUCAAACAGGAUUAGAUACCCUGGUAGUCCACGCCGUANACGAUGAUUACUGGUUGUUGGCGAUAGAUAGUCAGCGACUGAGCGAAAGCAUUAAGUAAUCCACCUGGGGAGUACGCCCGCAAGGGUGAAACUCAAAGGAAUUGACGGGGGUCCGCACCAGCGGUGGAGCAUGUGGUUUAAUUCGAUGAUACGCGAGGAACCUUACCCGGGCUAGAAUGUGA